This 410-nucleotide long non-coding RNA is filed under the name Danio rerio (zebrafish). RNAcentral's name for it is "si:dkey-229p15.6 (ENSDARG00000097943.2)". Lineage: Eukaryota; Metazoa; Chordata; Actinopteri; Cypriniformes; Danionidae. The record is from RNAcentral.
CUUCUCCGCUUCAGCUUCUCCGGAUUGUGGGAUGCCAUGUGGGAAAACUCUCGGAAAAUAUCCAGGGUAUUUCUACUGUCUGGUAACCAUGACAACAGUUGGAACUUCGCAGGGGACAAAAGGGGUUGCUCUGAACGCUCUGCCAAACUGUGCGAGUUUCUCAUGCCUGAUUUACAAUGAAGAGACUGUCCCGUCAGCCCGCAGGCACUCAUGCAGAAGAGCCGUUUAAAGAGAUAUUCACUUUUACAUGGAGAUGUGUUUUGUGAAACAGCUGUACUUCUUUUGUCAACACUGUACAUAUAUACAUACAGUUGAAGUCAGAAUUAUUGGCCCCCCUGAAUUAUUAGUCCCCUGUUUGUUUAUUUUUUUCCCAAUUUCUGUUAAACAGAGAGGAGAUGUUUAUAAUACAU